RNAcentral lists this unclassified non-coding RNA (336 nucleotides) under soil metagenome. RNAcentral describes it as "partial contains 5.8S ribosomal RNA, internal transcribed spacer 2, and large subunit ribosomal RNA". The stretch from base 1 to 120 matches the Rfam family "5.8S ribosomal RNA", at positions 35 to 154 of the family's 154-position model. The record is from RNAcentral.
GAUGAAGAACGUAGCGAAAUGCGAUAAGUAAUGUGAAUUGCAGAAUUCAGUGAAUCAUCGAAUCUUUGAACGCGCAUUGCGCCCGCCAGUAUUCUGGCGGGCAUGCCUGUUCGAGCGUCAUUUCAACCAUCAAGCCCCAGGCUUGUGUUGGGGACCUGCGGCUGCCGCAGGCCCUGAAAACCAGUGGCGGGCUCGCUAGUCACACCGAGCGUAGUAGCAUACACAUCGCUCAGGGCGUGCUGCGGGUUCCGGCCGUUAAACCCCUUUUUUACCCAAGGUUGACCUCGGAUCAGGUAGGAAGACCCGCUGAACUUAAGCAUAUCAAUAAGCGGAGGA